GAUGAAGAACGUAGCGAAAUGCGAUACGUAAUGUGAAUUGCAGAAUUCAGUGAAUCAUCGAAUCUUUGAACGCAUAUUGCGCUCUCUGGUAUUCCGGAGAGCAUGCUUGUUUGAGUAUCAGUAAACACCUCAACUUCCAUAUCUUUUUUGAAAUGGGAGUUGGACUUGAGUGAUCCCAACGCUUUUCCUCACCGAAAAGUGGCGGGUUACUUGAAAUGCAGGUGCAGCUGGACUUUUCUUUGAGCUAUAAGCAUAUCUAUUUAGUCUGCCUAAAAAACAGAUUAUUACCUUUGCUGCAGCUAACAUAAAGGAGAUUAGUUCUUGUGCUGACUGAUGCAGGAUUCACAAAGACAGGCUUCGGCCGACUUUGUAAACUCGAUCUCAAAUCAAGUAAGACUACCCGCUGAACUUAAGCAUAUCAAUAAGCGGAGGA
RNAcentral lists this unclassified non-coding RNA (433 nucleotides) under soil metagenome. Its description in RNAcentral is "partial contains 5.8S ribosomal RNA, internal transcribed spacer 2, and large subunit ribosomal RNA". The stretch from base 1 to 120 matches the Rfam family "5.8S ribosomal RNA", at positions 35 to 154 of the family's 154-position model. The record is from RNAcentral.